Molecule: ribosomal RNA, 463 nt
Filed under: Nocardiopsis lucentensis
Lineage: Bacteria; Bacillati; Actinomycetota; Actinomycetes; Streptosporangiales; Nocardiopsidaceae
Description: bacterial SSU rRNA
Rfam family: Bacterial small subunit ribosomal RNA
Source: RNAcentral
UCAGGACGAACGCUGGCGGCGUGCUUAACACAUGCAAGUCGAGCGGUAAGGCCCUUCGGGGUACACGAGCGGCGAACGGGUGAGUAACACGUGAGCAACCUGCCCCUGACUCCGGGAUAAGCGGUGGAAACGCCGUCUAAUACCGGAUAUGACACACCAUCUCCUGGUGGUGUGUGGAAAGUUUUGUCGGUCAGGGAUGGGCUCGCGGCCUAUCAGCUAGUUGGUGGGGUAAAGGCCUACCAAGGCGAUUACGGGUAGCCGGCCUGAGAGGGCGACCGGCCACACUGGGACUGAGACACGGCCCAGACUCCUGCGGGAGGCAGCAGUGGGGAAUAUUGCACAAUGGGCGAAAGCCUGAUGCAGCGACGCCGCGUGGGGGAUGACGGCCUUCGGGUUGUAAACCUCUUUUACCACCAACGCAGGCCCCGGGUUCUCUCGGGGUUGACGGUAGGUGGGAUAAGCC